GGAGGGUAUAGCUCAGUGGUAGAAUGUGUGCUUAGCAUGCACAAGGUCCUGGGUUCAAUCCCCAGUACCUCCA
RNAcentral lists this transfer RNA (73 nucleotides) under Vicugna pacos (alpaca). Its description in RNAcentral is "tRNA-Ala (AGC) (tRNA-Ala-AGC-516-1, tRNA-Ala-AGC-516-2)". It matches the Rfam family "tRNA". From Rfam's summary of the family: Transfer RNA (tRNA) molecules are approximately 80 nucleotides in length. Lineage: Eukaryota; Metazoa; Chordata; Mammalia; Artiodactyla; Camelidae. The record is from RNAcentral.